Zea mays is the source of this 4551-nucleotide long non-coding RNA. RefSeq lists it as uncharacterized. NCBI's taxonomy places the organism in Eukaryota, Viridiplantae, Streptophyta, Magnoliopsida, Poales, Poaceae. The record is from RefSeq and is a predicted model, not a curated record. The transcript is spliced from 19 exons.
GGUGCACGGUUCUGCCAUACCCCCUCCUCCGCGAUUCGCGUCUCUGCCGCCAUGCCCGCUCUCCAUCGAAGGAAGGCGCCAUUCCAGGGAUUAUCGCACCAUUCUCGCCCUCGUCCGCUCUCCGGCACCAUUCUAGCAUUCCAGGGAUUACCGCCUCCCCCUCGAUCCGCGGCACUCUCCCCCGUCCUUCUCGAGUAUGGCACCGCCAGUCCGCCUCGCGACCCCUGCCUCCUCCCCCCUCGCUCUCUUGUUCCCCCAGCCACCGCGAGGAACUCUGAACCCCAUUCCCCACCACCGUACCAAUCCCCGCAUCUACGCCGCUCCCCCCGCCCCCUGUCAACUACGCCAGGUCCUCGCCAUCGAUGUCGCCCAAGCGCGUCGUCCUCGCCCCCGACCUCGGCGUGCGGGAUUCGGUACCGAAAGAAGAGACAGGAGGAGAAUACAAGCCCUCAGCCUCGGUGUUCCCCAUUCACCGCUCAGGCGCAGUCCAUCGCUCCUUCGACGAGGGCUCCAGCGACUACGGCUCCAUCGCUCCUCAUGGUGAUGCCGCCGAGGGUUGUCCUACGAAGCCGUCCGCGAUGCCGAGGGUUGUCCUACGAAGCAGACACGCCCUGCGGCUGCCCACACAAAGGGUUUGGUUCUUGUUCCUCCAAGCUACUGCGCGUGUGCUUUCACAUUCGGCACAGUGGGAGCCCUCAUGGCAGCAGACGACGUGUGACUCCAGACUCGGCGUAGACGACCCACAAGGAGCUGCUAAUGGCGGAGGCUGAGCGCCGCCAUGGAUCUGACACGGUGUGGAAUGGGAGGAGCCGAAGCGGAGAUUGGAUCAAAGUGCACUGGGCAGGAGCCAAGCAAAUCUGGUGGACGCCUAAGGAUCAGGACGUGGUGCCUCCCGCACUGGUCCGCGGCUGCUGGAGCAGCUGCCACGGCUGGCAUCGCAGUGGUCUUGUUAACCUCAAGAGCCAAAUGAUUCAGCUGAGUUUCGGUCUCAUAUUGGUGGAGCUGUUGUAUCUGCAGCAAAGGUGAUGUUUCUGAACAUUAGUAUGUGCUUAGAAGACAAAUUUGUUGCUCUCAGUUCACUAUUGUUGGUUAAGAUCUUUUCAUUAUCUACCCGCUAAAUUUUCUGCACCAAUAUAGAAUGACAAAUGCGCAAGCAAUUUGCUUCACAUGAAUGCCAAUUCAAAGUUAUAUGUAUUAUCUAAUGGAUCAUUUUAGUAGAAUUUUUUUCUAAUAAUACUCAACAGUUGGCAAGCUACCUAACAUUUUCAUGCUAUCUAUCAUAAAACAAGUGGUUCUUUCUUUGUUUUCUCUGUUGAUACGUUUUUAGCAGUUAUUCUGUUUAAUCCUUCUAUUUCACAUAUAGGGUCAUUUAUUGGAUUGUUUGUGUUGAAGGCAGUUGGUUACUACAAUGCUGGAACAGUGGAGUUUAUUGUGGACACUCUUUCUGGAGAGUUCUACUUCAUGGAGAUGAAUACUCGACUCCCUCCUCCCCUCCUAGAUCCUGUGAUCUGCUACGAAGCUGCCAUCAACGCCCUCCUCCCCCUCUCCGCUCAGCUCCUCCUCGCUCUUUCGUAGAGGAGAGGAUUUCACACUGAUGCAAGCGCUCAUCAAGGCAGAUUUCUGGCUUCUGUUUUUCUCGUCUACCAGAUAAUCAAGAAAGAUUUUAGUAUUGCAAGAUUUGCUCAGAUGAUGCGGAGGUUAAAUUUCUUUGUGGCAUUCUGUUGCAUUGGGCAUAUAUAAUAGAGCAUGAGAUCAUUGUCAAGGAUCACUUGGUCUGUUUAACACAUACAAUGAGGUACCAUCAAUCAUGGCUAUUAAGAUUGCUUGCUGCUUCUUGUCUGUAAUUUUGAUAUGGGAAAUCCCUGGGGUAUUUGAAUUAUUGUGGACCCCUUUACAUUUCUGCUAGGCUAUAAAGAUCCAUCACCAUCCAAGGCACACUUACCCCUGCUACAUGAGUGGCAUUUCCGAUCUGGCCUCGAUCGAUACAUAUGGAUUAUUGGAAUGAUUUAUGCUUACUUCCAUCCUAAUGUUGAAAGAUGGAUGGAGAAGCUGGAAGAAUCUGAGACUAAGGUUAGAUUAUCAAUCAAGGGAACCAUUGUCACUCUUUCGUUGACGGAAAGUUUCCACAAUCUCUUACCUUUGUUGUUGUGGAAACUGUUGGAUUUCUUUAAAUCAAGUACUUGACACCACUGUGUUGUUAAUACUGUACUGACUUGGUGUUGUGUCUCUUCUUCUAGGUUGGCUUUCUAUGGUAUGAACAUAUAUACAAGCUAGACAAAGGUACAUACAACAAGUAGCAUCCCUACACAUCAUGGAUCCCUAUAACAUUGCCGGUCUCAGACGAAGAGCAGCAGUAGCAGCAUGUUCUGCUUACCACAGCAUCAGCAACGAAGUAUUUUAUUGUAAGCAAGCUGGGGUAGACUCCGGUUAAGAAACUCAGUAGAAUGCACGGUUCAGGCAUAUAGAUAAUUGUUUUUCAAGAAUAAAUCUUAGAUAUAUCCUUCUUCUUUUAUUGCUUAUUUCCGUAUCAACUUCAGUUUUAUCUUCAUCUUUUUCUAUUGUUAUCACGCCUUAAAAUCCUACUAUGCUUCUUCAGCUUGGCUCAGUCUGCUUAUAUUUCAGAUUAUCUUGCAAUAAUUGGAUGUUGUUUUUGGCUGAGUUAGAAGCCCCGUGUAGGUCGGCUCAGGCUUCUUAUGUUUCAGAUUCUCCUGCAACCAUUUGGUGUUGUUUUUGGCUGAGUUAGAAGCUCCGUCCAGAUUAUCUUGCAAUAAUUGGAUGCUGUUUUUGGCUGAGUUAGAAGCCCCGUGCAGGUCCGCUCAGGCUUCUUAUGUUUCAGAUUCUCCUGCAACCGUUUGGUGUUGUUUUUGGCUGAGUUAGAAGCUCCGUCCAGGAUAAACGAUGCUCCAUAAAUUAUGAAGCAGAUGCCCCCGCCACCUAAGGAUUUGGAGAUUGCUAUAGUUCGGAGCUCGAGCUGCCCUUCGAUCGAACCAAGAACAACCCUGCUGCCCUCACAACAUCAAAGUUUGGUAUCAGCAAGAUGGAGCUUCUCAAGGCAUGCUUUUGUAGGGAGUGACUGCUGAUGUAGAGGAACUCAUGGAUGAAGGUAUACGGUACUAGCUGACUUAACAGAAUAUCCAUCAGUAUUCUACAAUGAUCAAUACAGAUCAUUGAUCCCUUUCAUGUCAUGGUCUAUUCAAAAGGAAAAUCCACUUCUGAGAUUAACAGUUGAGAACUGUGAGUUGUCCAGUAUUGGUGUGAUUAUACUUCUGGACUGCCUCACAAAUGCGAAGCAACUCCUUGAUGUGCUAUCUAUUGCAGACAAUCAUCUAGGGAGUCCUGUGGCAGCUGCAUUGGCCAGAUUCUUGGGUUCACAUGUACGAGCUUUAAAUGCUACAGAUAUCGGCUUGGGAACAGUAGGCUUCCAAAUACUUGAGGAAACAUUGCCAACAGAAGUAGCUCUUUCCCACAUCAACAUCAGUAAGAAUCGUGGUGGGAUCAGAGCAGCAUAUUUUGUUUCCAGAUUAAUAUGUCGAGCACCAAACCUUGUCUCAGUCAAUGCAGCAGGGAAUCUGUGGACCCUCUUCAAUAUGUGAGGAUUGGCCUGCUGGUGGACAAGGAGGCCCCCGCCCUGGUCCUGGUGCUGCUGCUACAGCUCCAGCACCAGCACCGGUUGCUGCUCGCCCAUAGGCUUUAGCUUUUCGACCGUGUUGAAAGUCUUCUGCCCACGCAGUUUCGGAGUUGUCGCCUAUGGGUGAAAAACAAGAAGAUGGAAAAUACAAGCACUCUGUGGAUCUCCCGAAAACAACAUUUGAGCUGAGAGCGAAUUCUGUACAGCGGGAGCUAGAGCUCCAAAAAUUAUGGGACGAUAAUCAGGUUCUGAAAAGGGUUUCUGAGGAACACUGGGUGAUCUUCACAUGGGCCAUGCGCUCAAUAAAAUCCUCAAGGAUUUUAUAAAUCGCUACAAGCUGCUUCAGAAUCAUAAAGUGUCCUUUGUUCCUGGUUGGGAUUGCCACGGCCUUCUAAUAGAACUAAAAGGCAAGUUCAUUUGUACAAAGGUCUAUAUUCUAUUUGUUGCCCAAGUCUUAUCUGCAUUACUAAAUGCUAUUCACGUUUGCUAUUUUAAAAAUUGAAUUUUGAGAAUCUUCAUGUAUUUAGAGGUUGUAUUUGUAUAUGAUGCUAAUCUCCUUAUUGUCGCACAUGUUCACGCUGGAGAAGGUGGCUUGUGCGAACGAGGCGUGGCAAUCGAUGAGCAGUGGCAAACCCAAAAAUCUUCAAAAGCCUAGGCAAAAGUAGUAACUAAAGAUACAUCACCUUGUCCAGUUUUUCUGCUUUUACUUCGACUAUAUGUCAUUGUGCCACAAAAAACUUGUUUCAUCGACUUAUGAUGAGUCUUCUCAAUUGUUUCUUGAAUAUGCUUUUUUAGAACCAAAUUGAAUUUUACAAGGUGCAAUAUUGAUUAGAAAAAGGUGUGAUGCUGACUGGGAAAGCGCUACUCCCUUGUAUGAAUUAGCUGGUCGAUGAUUUUGUUUCCCAUCCUUUUUAAUUUCUUGA